CGUGAGUAACCUGCCCUUGACUCUGGGAUAAGCCUGGGAAACUGGGUCUAAUACCGGAUAUGACCAUUCCACGCAUGUGGUGGUGGUGGAAAGCUUUUGCGGUUUUGGAUGGACUCGCGGCCUAUCAGCUUGUUGGUGGGGUAAUGGCCUACCAAGGCGACGACGGGUAGCCGGCCUGAGAGGGUGACCGGCCACACUGGGACUGAGACACGGCCCAGACUCCUACGGGAGGCAGCAGUGGGGAAUAUUGCACAAUGGGCGGAAGCCUGAUGCAGCGACGCCGCGUGAGGGAUGACGGCCUUCGGGUUGUAAACCUCUUUCAGUAGGGAAGAAGCGUAAGUGACGGUACCUGCAGAAGAAGCGCCGGCUAACUACGUGCCAGCAGCCGCGGUAAUACGUAGGGCGCAAGCGUUAUCCGGAAUUAUUGGGCGUAAAGAGCUCGUAGGCGGUUUGUCGCGUCUGCUGUGAAAGACCGGGGCUCAACUCCGGUUCUGCAGUGGGUACGGGCAGACUAGAGUGCAGUAGGGGAGACUGGAAUUCCUGGUGUAGCGGUGAAAUGCGCAGAUAUCAGGAGGAACACCGAUGGCGAAGGCAGGUCUCUGGGCUGUAACUGACGCUGAGGAGCGAAAGCAUGGGGAGCGAACAGGAUUAGAUACCCUGGUAGUCCAUGCCGUAAACGUUGGGCACUAGGUGUGGGGGACAUUCCACGUUUUCCGCGCCGUAGCUAACGCAUUAAGUGCCCCGCCUGGGGAGUACGGCCGCAAGGCUAAAACUCAAAGGAAUUGACGGGGGCCCGCACAAGCGGCGGAGCAUGCGGAUUAAUUCGAUGCAACGCGAAGAACCUUACCAAGGCUUGACAUGGACUGGAAAGAUCUGGAGACAGGUCCCCCGCUUGCGGUCGGUUCACAGGUGGUGCAUGGUUGUCGUCAGCUCGUGUCGUGAGAUGUUGGGUUAAGUCCCGCAACGAGCGCAACCCUCGUUCUAUGUUGCCAGCGCGUUAUGGCGGGGACUCAUAGGAGACUGCCGGGGUCAACUCGGAGGAAGGUGGGGACGACGUCAAAUCAUCAUGCCCCUUAUGUCUUGGGCUUCACGCAUGCUACAAUGGCCGGUACAAAGGGUUGCGAUACUGUGAGGUGGAGCUAAUCCCAAAAAGCCGGUCUCAGUUCGGAUUGGGGUCUGCAACUCGACCCCA
This 1192-nucleotide ribosomal RNA is filed under the name Arthrobacter sp. RNAcentral describes it as "bacterial SSU rRNA". It matches the Rfam family "Bacterial small subunit ribosomal RNA", at positions 116 to 1320 of the family's 1533-position model. The record is from RNAcentral. Lineage: Bacteria; Bacillati; Actinomycetota; Actinomycetes; Micrococcales; Micrococcaceae.